This 460-nucleotide ribosomal RNA is filed under the name uncultured bacterium. RNAcentral's name for it is "partial 16S ribosomal RNA". It matches the Rfam family "Bacterial small subunit ribosomal RNA", at positions 338 to 795 of the family's 1533-position model. The record is from RNAcentral.
CCUACGGGAGGCAGCAGUGAGGAAUAUUGGUCAAUGGACGAGAGUCUGAACCAGCCAAGUAGCGUGAAGGAUGACUGCCCUAUGGGUUGUAAACUUCUUUUAUAAAGGAAUAAAACGAGGCACGUGUGCCUUUUUGCAUGUACUUUAUGAAUAAGGAUCGGCUAACUCCGUGCCCGCAGCCGCGGUAAUACGGAGGAUCCGAGAGUUAUCCGGAUUUAUUGGGUUUAAAGGGAGCGUAGAUGGGUUGUUAAGUCAGUUGUGAAAGUUUGCGGCUCAACCGUAAAAUUGCAAUUGAUACUGGCAGUCUUGAGUACAGUUGAGGUAGGCGGAAUUCGUGGUGUAGCGGUGAAAUGCUUAGAUAUCACGAAGAACCCCGAUUGCGAAGGCAGCUUACUAAACUGUGACUGACAUUGAGGCUCGAAAGUGUGGGUAUCAAACAGGAUUAGAUACCCGUGUAGUC